This 24-nucleotide unclassified non-coding RNA is filed under the name Mus musculus (house mouse). Its description in RNAcentral is "oocyte_clustered_small_RNA3064". Lineage: Eukaryota; Metazoa; Chordata; Mammalia; Rodentia; Muridae. The record is from RNAcentral.
UGCUUCAAGGCACCUGGGACAUUG